GGGGUGAGGUGAGGUGGAUUCAAGAAACCUCGCCCCCUAAUCGAUUGCAAUCGCCACGCCGGGAGGACGAAUCGAGCCCGCGCGACCUCUGCGUUCAGCGGCAGCGUCCCGGUCAACCGGCAACUCCGGAUUCCUCCCUGCACGACUUCUUGCAAAAAAGCCUGCUCGACGCAAGUUGUUAAAAAGGGCUUCCAAUGGAAAGACGAUGGCGUUUGUGGUGGCAUGUUGGUGUCUGGAAACAACUGCGCCACCUCAAUGAGCAAGCCAUUGCAUGUAUGCUGAACUUCUUUUGCACCGUACGUAGCCAACCAUGAUAAUUGGAGGUGUGGGGAAAGCAGUUAAUGCUUGAAGGCCUGGUACGUUCCCAACAAACUGGGCAGCCCGGUCUAUUUGGGAGAGUCUUUGUAACUUGAUUCACGAAACACAAAGCAGAGACAAGAGUCUUUAUCAGUAAGCUUGAAUACGUCAACUGCCCCUCAGUGUUCUGACCUUGUCGCUUAAUUUCCUUGGGCGCAUACACCUUGCAAGCACAUUGGCACAAAAAAAUAUGAACUCUUCGUCAUAAACUAAAACUAUUUCAUUCACCAGGUAAAGACCACUGAGCUGUUUUUGUUUAGAGGAAACCUGGCCCCACAUGAUAGCUCUUCGAAGCGGCUUAUACCAUCAUAUGUGGGAAUUUAUAGUAGCAGACGAAUAAUCAUGGCAAACUGCAUGUAAUAUAUUCGCUAAAUUAGAUUUUUUUUUUGCCUGGGAAAUGCAGGCUACAUGCUGAAUAAUGAACAUGAUACAAAUUACUAUGCAAUGUUUUUCUUCAAACACAUAAAAAAAACUAUAAUUCCUUUCCGCUGAUACUUUCUUAUCAGGCUGGAGAGGUCAGUCCCAAUGGAACAAAAAAAAGUGAUUUAGCUUAAUCUUUACGGCCUGUCCACUAUGAAUUGAUUUACAUUGUGUCUCCACUGAGCAUUAAUAAUUAAGCAGCGACCGGUGAAUUUAAAUACAGUACGUGUAUUCUAUGAAAUAUUUAAAAUUACGGCAUAGUAUAUGUAGCAGAUAAGCUGUCCUGUCAGAAAGAUGGUAGAAAAGAAACGUGAUCGCUAUGUAACAAAAAUAAAAAAAAUACUUUUAAAUAACGUAUCACCAUACAAUGGACAAUACACGGUAAAGGUGCAGCCCUGUAGUUGCUUUGCCCACUCCACUGUUGGCACAAAAGUUUGCACUGCAAGGAGCUCUAUAAUGCCCCCCAUCCCCCCCCUCCAAAGAGGCUAUUUGGCCUCAUUUUCUACGCCGGCCAGAUUUUUCGUGAGGAAAGAAGUGAAAGUAUCCACAAUUUCCCCCACCACGCAAGACCUGCAAUAGACUGUGGUGUACUCAUAAUGCCCGGGUCGACAGAGGCGGGAGGGCGGAGGGUGGAUUUAAGAGAUUUUCCAGUUGGUUCAACUGCCGGGAUUUUGAACCGGUGACCUCUGGUGCAAACCAUGAAGCCACGGAAGCAUCACGACAUAAGACAGCAAAUAAAUUAAAAUACAAAAGCCUUUAACCCCAUUUGCCUAAUCAGUAUGCUCAUUCGCGUGUACAUCCUUCCCCCGAUUAAUCUGUAAAAACGAUCUCUGUUCGACAUGGACGAAGAGGCUGAAAAGCAAACGACCGUUUUAAGUUAAAUGCAAACGAAGAAGCGACCGUCGAUGCGGUAGGCAGGGACACGUUAUGAACGGUACGUCUCAGAUGCAAGCCACGUCUCGCCGCUCGCCCCAGAUGAUUAUUAUCAGAGGCUGCGGCUCUAAAAUGCAUCGCCUGUCCUCUAAUGAGCAGACAUCCUUUCCAAUUCCUCCGUAGAUCACUUGGACCCCGCUCCAAAGAGUUAAGGAGAGAGGAAAAAGAGGCGGUUAAGUCUUUGUGGGUGGGCAAGCAUCACCAGAUUUCAUUAUACCACUACUUCCUGGCAAAUGGAGUGAGUAAAAUAACCAAAGAAGCCGCCUUCUGAGUGGUGCAAGAUUACGCAUGCUGAGUGACAAAAAAAAAAUAAACGGCAUUCUUCAGCUAUGGGGAGCAACAGAAAAACACGCAAUGGGUUUAAAAGUGGCGUUUGCCAUUACGUACGUAUGGAAGCGUGCAAGAGGAUUUAUCAAUCAAUAAAACGUUUAAUUCGAAGUCAGGUGGGAAUCCAUUAGGAUGAAAACACAUUUUUAAGGACACCUGGGCAAUUGGAAAAAUCGGCGAUCGUUGCGCGCGUGUAUUUAUGUGCACGCUUGCAAAAACGUUAAAAUGUAAUAAGGUAUGUCCUAGCGUAACGUGUCCAAGUGUCACCCAAUGGAGCAUAUAAACGAAUGUUCUACAAAUGGUUCACGUAUCCGAUCUGUUCACAUGUCCCUCAAAACCUCAGCCACCAACAAGCUGGAUACACAACAGAAUAAUUGCAACUUUUAAGCAUUUAGCGCAAUGGCAUUUCACUAUUAUUACUCUGAUGUCGCCGUGACCCUGACCAGGGAUAAGCGGAUUGAUAAACGAAGUACUCUUAUGUGUACAUGGCUUUCGACCAUUACCCGUUAAAACCAAAAAUAUAACAUUCUAUCUAUCUUCAACAAAAUUACAUCGUCUGUUCUUUGGAUACUGUUUAUUAUAAAGCAAUAAUGAAGAGGACAACUGCUCUGCAGAACAGUUGAGUGGUAAUGUACAUGAUUAAUGUCAAUAUUUAGGAAGUAAUACUUAGGUUUGAUCGUUCAUGUAGAUAGAGUCUAAUAAUAUUUAAAUUGAUCAUUGUUAUGGCAACAACAAUGCAGCUUAUGACAUUGUUUUGGUUGUGAAUGCUUUUACAAAAGCUAGACACGCAACCCCGCACUGUACAAUACAGUGCCAAAUAAAGAUGUCAUUGAAAUCAUGUAACAAAAAAUAUUGGAGGUAUUACAAAGCAUUGAUUAGUCUCUUAAACAAGCAUGUUUUUUUACAUAA
This is a non-coding RNA of Petromyzon marinus (sea lamprey), 2946 nucleotides long. NCBI's taxonomy places the organism in Eukaryota, Metazoa, Chordata, Hyperoartia, Petromyzontiformes, Petromyzontidae. The record is from RefSeq and is a predicted model, not a curated record.